AUGAAGAACGUAGUGAAAUGCGAUACUUGGUGUGAAUUGCAGAAUCCCGUGAACCAUCGAGUCUUUGAACGCAAGUUGCGCCCGAAGCCAUUAGGCCGAGGGCACGCCUGCCUGGGCGUCACACGUCGUUGCCCCCCCAUCUACUCCUUCGGGAUUGCGGGGGGCGGAUGAUGGCCUCCCGUGCGCCUCGCCGCGCGGUUGGCAUAAAUGCCAAGUCCUCGGCGACGCACGCCACGACAAUCGGUGGUUGCGAAACCUCGGUUGCCCGUCGUGUGCGGUCGUCGCGCAUCGAGGGCUCGAAAAAAUUGCCGGGUUCCGGCUCGGCUUUCAACGCGACCCCAGGUCAGGCGGGGUUACCCGCUGAAUUUAAGCAUAUCAAUAAGCGGAGGA
RNAcentral lists this unclassified non-coding RNA (390 nucleotides) under soil metagenome. RNAcentral describes it as "partial contains 5.8S ribosomal RNA, internal transcribed spacer 2, and large subunit ribosomal RNA". The stretch from base 1 to 121 matches the Rfam family "5.8S ribosomal RNA", at positions 36 to 154 of the family's 154-position model. The record is from RNAcentral.